Sorghum bicolor (sorghum) is the source of this 1220-nucleotide long non-coding RNA. RefSeq lists it as uncharacterized. The transcript is spliced from 4 exons. NCBI's taxonomy places the organism in Eukaryota, Viridiplantae, Streptophyta, Magnoliopsida, Poales, Poaceae. The record is from RefSeq and is a predicted model, not a curated record.
UUCUGUACUCACGAGAGACAGAGGAGGCAUCCUGUACACCCGUAUCCAAUCGUUCCCCAAAAUUGCGACGCAGCUCGCGACGGUCCUCGUCUCCGCCGUCGUGCCUGCGGUGAGCGUCGGUGUCGUGGUGACUGCGGCGACGGUGCCGGUCGUCGUCCCGUUCGCGCGAUCGGUGGUGCCCGUCGUCGUCGCGAGUGCGGCGUGACCAGCGCUCACGAUCCAUGGCAAGGAGGGUUAGGGUUUGACCAGCGCUCGUGACCAGUGCUCGAGGAUUCACCGUAGCAGAGGGCGCCGCGGUGGCCGCCAAGCCAACCCGCGGGUCGACAGGCGCGGGGCUCCAGCGGCAGCGGGCGAGACGAGGCAAACCCGAGCGGCGCUAAAGCGAGGAACCGGCGCAACGGGCACGACUACGUUGAGCACUUGCGCGUCGGCCAGAGCCAGCCCGCCGAUCUGAGCCAAGCCGGGCCACCCCUCGCGGAGCAGCCCGCCGCGCUGCCGUGGAAGGAGUUCGAGGUGCUCGGCAUCCACGUCUGCCGCGCCGAGCCCGUGUUCCCGCCGCGCCCAGGGUACGGCGCCGCGUUGAUACCGUGCGUCGUCGGGACCUGAAGUCCCUGCAACUGUUGCAGCCAUCAUGGACAACCAGUGGAUGAGAGCACCUAGGUGGUCAGUCGAGUAUGAUGAAGGCCUUCACAACUUUAUAGAAUUUUCCUUUGCCACAUCAGCCCAACAGAAUAGGAUACCUUGUCCUUGCCGUGAUUGUGGAAAUAAUUACUGGCUAGAGGCAAAAGAUGUUCGGGAACACUUAGUUUGCAUUGGGUUCAUGGAUGGAUAUUCAUCAUUGAUUCAUCAUGGUGAGGAGCAAUUGACAAGUGAGGACAAUAGACAUGUAUAUAGCUGGAUGUGGGCAUGUCAUUUUCAAGCAGGAGUAACAUAAUUUGGUUCCUGAACAUUGAUGGCCAGUACUGUGGCAACAUAGUAUAUUUAGAUGGAUUUAUACUUACAUAGGUAUAUAUAGCUGUGAUGUGGACACUCUUAUAAAAGGAGAAAGAAACUUGCAUCAGGAAUGGGGACCUAGACAUCAGGACUUGGAACAUCAUUUGAAUUGACUAUUUUUCAACCUUAUUGAUUGUGUUUGGUUACAAAUAUAACUGUGUAUAGCCUGAAAGGUUAAAUGUUUGGAUCAUGUUGUUAACGUGUAUUUUCAUUGGUUAAUUUCUCAA